UGUAACUCCUAUUGUAACUUACUCUUAAUUUUAUUAUAAAUUCCUUACUUUUGUUAACAUUGGUUAGCAUUGGAUUGGUGAUUGAAUUCCUUGCAUGUGCAAGAUCAUAGUGUGCAGAAUUUGCCACUAUACUUUCCAAUUGUUGGGUUUCUUUUGCUACUUUGAUUUAAUUGUUUGUGCUCCAUUGGUUUGCUUUGAUAAAGGGGUACUCAAAUAUUGAUGCUGAAUCUAUGUCCUACCCUACUAUGUUGCGCUUGGUGCAAAUUUCUGCUCUGUUUUGUGAACAAUAUUUGUGUCCUAGCUGCAUUUUUGUGUUCAUGCUGUGGUAAAUUUGGAUCAAAGUUGGUUGACUAUUUUUUGUAAUACACAUUUUUUUUUUCAUAUAUUCUCUUUCAGUUUAAUCUGAUGCAAUUUCUUCCUCCGCUUCCAGUAUCUUUUGCUUGAGAAACGAAUCAAUACAAGGUGCAUUAAAGGUAUGUUUUUUGGCUUGAUCUAUAUGUACUAAGUUGGUGGGACUUGAUUUAUUUGAUAUAUUUAUUUGAAUAUUUAAUUUGCUGCAUGUAAAUAUUGUGUUAGAAUUCGUACAUAGAUUGGGGAAAGAUUGGGGAUGGUGAAGAUGUGAAAGAAUG
RNAcentral lists this unclassified non-coding RNA (629 nucleotides) under Hevea brasiliensis (rubber tree). Lineage: Eukaryota; Viridiplantae; Streptophyta; Magnoliopsida; Malpighiales; Euphorbiaceae. The record is from RNAcentral.